This 505-nucleotide ribosomal RNA is filed under the name uncultured bacterium. Its description in RNAcentral is "bacterial SSU rRNA". It matches the Rfam family "Bacterial small subunit ribosomal RNA", at positions 15 to 507 of the family's 1533-position model. The record is from RNAcentral.
GAUCAUGGCUCAGGAUGAACGCUAGCUACAGGCUUAACACAUGCAAGUCGAGGGGAAACGACAUCGGAAGCUUGCUUUGAUGGGCGUCGACCGGCGCACGGGUGAGUAACGCGUAUCCAACCUGCCCACCACUUGGGGAUAACCUUGCGAAAGUAAGACUAAUACCCAAUGACGUCUCUAGAAGACAUCUGAAAGGGAUUAAAGAUUUAUCGGUGAUGGAUGGGGAUGCGUCUGAUUAGCUUGUUGGCGGGGUAACGGCCCACCAAGGCUACGAUCAGUAGGGGGUUCUGAGAGGAAGGUCCCCCACAUUGGAACUGAGACACGGUCCAAACUCCUACGGGAGGCAGCAGUGAGGAAUAUUGGUCAAUGGGCGAGAGCCUGAACCAGCCAAGUAGCGUGCAGGAUGACGGCCCUAUGGGUUGUAAACUGCUUUUAUGCGGGGAUAAAGCGGGCGACGUGUCGCCCCUUGCAGGUACCGCAUGAAUAAGGACCGGCUAAUUCCGUG